AUGGAAUUACAUCCAGAGUAUGAUGUUUGUGGUGCACGUCCCAAACGGCACAUUCGCCCACCUGUGCGCUAUGCAGAUUAUGAGGUUGAUUAUAGGGGCUACAUCGGUGAGAGGUACAGAGAGGAAUUAGAGAGUACUCACCAGGAGGGAAAUGCCAGGAUGACACCCCUCACCUCCCCUUAUGACUCUUCCCUUCGCCUGCAGAGGCGGGAUGCUAUUCUUCAGGAGAUGGACCUGGGCUAUAGGGCGGAGAACCAACAGCCCAGCCAGAAGAAUCAGCUAGCCCCCCAGCGGUUUCCAGAGAGAGAGUUUAGGGAACAACUACGAGAUUACUCUACUCCCCUGCCUUCAGUGCUGCACCCCAUACAUCCACAGGAGGAGAGCCGAGUUGAGUUAGAUGACAUUCGUCAUGAAAGACACCUUCUGCAGCAGACACAGCGGGACAUGGCAUCAGACUUAGUCGAGCUUAGAGCAUUGCGAGCAGACAUGAAACAGUUAGUAGAUGCUGUUCGCAACAUGCAGAGUCCAACCUCUAUUCAUACCAGAAAGCCAGAGUUAACGGUGAUGUCGCCAUGGCCACCUGUUGAACGCAAACCUAAAGCUGAGGAAGAGGAUGAUUGGCCUGCACCACCACCAUGGCCAGACCCAGAAUUGGACGAGCCUCUCCCUAGUGACCCACCUAUAGCACACUCACUUAUCAGUAGAAUAGAUGAGGUUCCAAGAAUUAAGGAAGAAGCACCACCAGCCCCAGCUCCUAACAUGUUUGUGGGCCAGCCACAAGUUAAUCACUCAGCACGUGAGGCCCUUCCUACCGCCAGGCCAUGGGAGGACACUGCCCGUCAUCCACCUCCCUGGUUCAAGCCCGUUCAGUUUCUGCCGCAGCCACACAGAUUACCUUCAGCUGAGCCCAAGUACCCUACUGCUUAUGGUGGUCAACGGAGUGAGCUUGGCUUCAACCUAACGCCCCAACAGCGACAUCCCGGCAUGGCAUGGACACAGCCCCCGCCUUUUAGCUCACCUCAGGAUCGUAACUACAGCAUCCCAGAGCCAAGUUACCGUGGGCCACGCCCAACAAUCCGCAACUUCUCAAGUCGGGACCCAAGUGAGUUCGCGCGGCUCAAGAUCUCAUUGGAGAACCUCCUACCACAUGAUGCAUCUGAGCUGUUUAAAUAUCAAGUGUUGGUCGAUCACCUGCAACUAGAAGAAGCCAGGUUAAUAGCAGAUGCUUACCUUAACUCCCCAACACCCUUCUCAGACACAAUGGUUGCCCUCAAUGACAAGUUCGGCCGGCCACAUCAGAUAGCGCUGAGGCGUAUUGCUGCUGUGAUGGACUCACCAGACAUAAAGCGGGGAGACUUUGCCGCAUUUGAGAAGUUUGCACUCCAGAUACAAUCACUGGUGGGGAUGCUGAAGACACUAGGCCACGAGGGUGAAGUGGAACUACAAUGUGGCUCACAUGUUGCUCGUCUGUUGAGCAAGCUGCCGCCUGAGCAGAGAGCAGAGUUUCGCCGCUGCAUGUACCAUCAGGGCACACAAACCCACACCUUAACUAAUCUUUCAGAUUGGUUGAAAUACGAGUCUUGGUGCCAGGACUCUGAAGGACAGUUAGCUGGGAGAGGAGCUCGGGAGAAGCCGGUGUCCAGAUAUGAGGGUAGGAAGGGUAAGCAACCUACUACUGUCCUCCAUGGUGUGAAGGACACUGCUAAGAAAUCUGAGGCUCCAGUUCCAAGCAGCUCCUUCAAAAGGAACAAGAGCAAGCCAUAUUGUCCAUUCUGCAAUAAUGAGGAACACUACCUUAGCCAGUGCACAGAGGUAUCCAGGCUAACAAAGGAUCAGCUGACCGAAUGGAUAAAAAGUAACAAGAGGUGUUGGCGAUGUGCACGGCCACACCAGGCGGCCCAGUGCAACUUAAAAAAGACAUGCAGCCUCUGCCAAGGGAAACAUCUCCAGGUUCUGCAUGAGGUGAAUAUGAGGUCAUCCAAGGAGGCAGCGUCAACACCGGCAGCGGAAAGCCAAGGCACAAGGGGGACAACAGAGGUUCUGUAUUUAGACAGACCCACUGAAGGCAGUCGGGUCCUUCUGAAAGUUGUCAAAGUCCGCCUUCACCAUGGUGACCAAUCAAUCAACACCUAUGCCAUACUUGAUGACGGUUCAGAGAGAACUAUGCUGUUGUCAGAUGCUGCAGAGAAGCUAGGUGUGCAGGGGAUUCAAGAGGACCUACCACUACGUACAAUUAGAGAGGAAGUGCAGACACUUCGUGGUGCAUCAGUGUCGUUCUUUAUUUCUUCGCCAUUAAAGCCAAAGACCAAGUUUAAGAUUACAGGUGCAUUCACUAGUGAUCGUAUUGGACUAGCUGCCCAUACUUACCCCAUGGAGCAACUCCGGAACACCUACAAGCACCUCACUGGCCUUCCCAUACGGACUCUUAUAAAUGUCAAACCCCUGCUUCUAAUUGGGAGUGACCAUCCCCAUCUCGUCACUCCCAUUGAACCUGUCAGAUUGGGACCUCCAGGUGGGCCUGCUGCCAUCCGCACAAGGCUGGGCUGGACUCUGCAGGGCCCAUCGAGUGUAGUCCGUCACCACGCCCAAUCACAGCAGUGUCUAUUUACAACAGUAACACCCCAGGUGAGCGAGCUUAUGAAACAUGUUGAGAAAUUAUGGCAGGUCGACAUUGUUCCAUUCAGAAGCGAGAAACUAGUUACUCGUUCAAGGCAGGACCAAGAGGCCAUCAGCAUCCUGGAGACCAAAACCAUCAGGGUAGAGGUUGAUGGCAUUCUCCGUUACGCAACCCCACUGCUCCGCCGGAAAGACAUGCCGCUCUUUCAGGCUACCAAAGAAGCCGUCAUGCCCUGUUUACGAAGUGUAGAGAGGCGACUUGCCAGAGAUCCUGCACGAGCAGAAGCCUACAGAGUGGAGAUGGAGAAAUUAAUAAAGGCGGGCUCUGUCAUCAAGUGUGGACCGAAAGUUUCAGACAAGGAAGGUUGUGAGGAAUGGUAUAUCCCUCACCAUAUGGUGAGCCAUAAUGGCAAGAAUAGGCUGGUAUUCAACUGCUCCUAUCAGUAUCGAGGGCAGAACCUCAACGACCAUCUACUGUCUGGGCCGACCUUAGGAGCAUCACUACUGGGAGUUCUGCUAAGAUUCCGAGAGCAUGCAGUUGCAGUUAGCGGAGACAUUAGAGGCAUGUUCCACCAAGUUCGCCUCCUCCCAGAGGAUCGUGCUCUGCUCAGAUUUCUUUGGCGCGACAUCAAGGUCUUUGUGGGCACCCGCGUGGCAGAGAUACAGGAGCUGACUGACGGGCAUGCCUGGAGAUAUGUUGAUACCGCAAGAAACCCUGCGGAUGACGUAACACGCGGAAAGAAGCUGCGAGAGCUUAUUCAGCCAAAUAGAUGGAGCCUGGGACCAGCCUUCCUCCUGAACAGUCCAGUCUCAUGGCCAGAGGACCCCACUGUUGACCAAACAGAAGAUACCUCAGAGCUAUGCAAGCCUAUCUUCUGUGGGGUCGCCACCGUUGCAUCAAGCCAGGCAACUUCAGACCUGGGCCAAUACGGCUCGUGGAAGGAGUUGUUGGAAGGGACAGUGCAGGAGCUGCAUGGGGCGGCCAACUCUAAUGAUAAGCCCACAGCUGAAGACUACCGACAGGCUGAACAAUUAAUACUUCAGAGGGCUCAGAGGGAUAGUUUUCAGCAGGAGUACAGCCUCCUGAAAGCUGGUAAACCCGUCCCCAGCUACAGUCGACUUCGCACGCUGUCUCCAGAGCUGGAUGGAAAGGGAGAGCUCAUUCGUGUUGGAGGACGACUCCGUCGAGCAGAAGGCCUAGAACUGACCACUCUUCAUCCAGUCAUCUUGGACCCAGGUCAUUGA
Cyprinus carpio (common carp) is the source of this 3861-nucleotide long non-coding RNA. The record is from Ensembl. Lineage: Eukaryota; Metazoa; Chordata; Actinopteri; Cypriniformes; Cyprinidae.